GACGAACGCUGGCGGCGUGCUUAACACAUGCAAGUCGAGCGGUAAGGCCCUUUCGGGGGUACACGAGCGGCGAACGGGUGAGUAACACGUGGGUGACCUGCCCUCAGCUCUGGGAUAAGCCCGGGAAACUGGGUCUAAUACCGGAUAUGACUCCAUGACGCAUGUUGUGGGGUGGAAAGCCUUGUGCGGCUGAGGAUGGGCCCGCGGCCUAUCAGCUUGUUGGUGGGGUGANGGCCUACCAAGGCGACGACGGGUAGCCGGCCUGAGAGGGCGACCGGCCACACUGGGACUGAGACACGGCCCAGACUCCUACGGGAGGCAGCAGUGGGGAAUCUUGCGCAAUGGGCGAAAGCCUGACGCAGCGACGCCGCGUGAGGGAUGACGGCCUCGGUU
RNAcentral lists this ribosomal RNA (393 nucleotides) under uncultured bacterium. RNAcentral describes it as "bacterial SSU rRNA". It matches the Rfam family "Bacterial small subunit ribosomal RNA", at positions 28 to 424 of the family's 1533-position model. The record is from RNAcentral.